GCCAGUGUGGCAUAACGGUUUGAGCAUUGGGACUGUGACUUGGAGACCAGGGUUCAAUUCCCAGCUUGGCCA
Non-coding RNA from Phrynosoma platyrhinos (Desert horned lizard), 72 nucleotides. The record is from the annotation of a GenBank genome assembly. Lineage: Eukaryota; Metazoa; Chordata; Lepidosauria; Squamata; Phrynosomatidae.